ACGAUAGGUUACCUUCGGGUAACUGAAAGUGGCGCACGGGUGCGUAACGCGUAUGCAACCUACCUGGUACUGGGGGAUAGCCCGGGGAAACCCGGAUUAAUACCCCAUAGUAAUAUCUGAUGGCAUCUGAGGAUAUUUAAAGAUUUAUUGGUACCAGAUGGGCAUGCGUCUGAUUAGCUAGUUGGUAGUGUAACGGACUACCAAGGCUACGAUCAGUAGGGGGUCUGAGAGGAUGAUCCCCCACACUGGCACUGAGAUACGGGCCAGACUCCUACGGGAGGCAGCAGUAGGGAAUAUUGGUCAAUGGGCGAGAGCCUGAACCAGCCAUGCCGCGUGCAGGAUGACGGCCUUCUGGGUUGUAAACUGCUUUUAUACGGGAAGAAAAAGGCUAUGCGUAGCCAACUGACGGUACCGUAUGAAUAAGCACCGGCUAACUCCGUGCCAGCUGCCGCGGUAAUAC
This 460-nucleotide ribosomal RNA is filed under the name Algoriphagus hitonicola. RNAcentral describes it as "bacterial SSU rRNA". It matches the Rfam family "Bacterial small subunit ribosomal RNA", at positions 66 to 526 of the family's 1533-position model. The record is from RNAcentral. Lineage: Bacteria; Pseudomonadati; Bacteroidota; Cytophagia; Cytophagales; Cyclobacteriaceae.